RNAcentral lists this long non-coding RNA (677 nucleotides) under Numida meleagris (helmeted guineafowl). RNAcentral describes it as "lncRNA (ENSNMEG00000021832.1)". The record is from RNAcentral. Lineage: Eukaryota; Metazoa; Chordata; Aves; Galliformes; Numididae.
GAAACGAGGAAGUGGAAACUGUGGGUAAGGGAAAUGUGAUGAGAACCAGAAAACAUGAAGUUAAGGGAGAUCCCAUGCCUGUAACCUCAGCACUUCAUGGGCACCUUAGCAGUGAGCACAGGAGUGACGGAGAGAUUACUGGCACUGUGUCACUGGCUGGAACCGAGGAAGCCAAAGAGCAGAAGUAAUUUCCGUUUCUCUAUGACUACUGCAACAACUCAGGUAGCUUGAGGAGCCAGCAUCUUGGCCUCUUUGCUCCUGAAAACACAUUGUAGCCUUCGAUUUGAAGUCUAUGGCAUAAGGGAAGUGCAGUGGAAAUUUUGGUUGGAUCUUUAAGUGUCAUGGCUACUGCUCAACUAACAUACCCUUUCUUUUUGUUCUUUGUUAUUAAAGAAAUAUCACUCUAUUUUCAGAAGGGCAUGAUAAGAGGUUUAGUAGUCUGAUUCACUGCCCAGAAGAAGUUAAUGGGGAACAGAGCAAGAUUCUCAUGUGAUUAGUGAUGCAAAAAUAAGAUUGUAACAUAAAUCUCAGUUAGCAUUUUCUCAUGUGCUUUAUUCAUCUGUUGCGAUCUUUUCAAGACUGCAUUUCCCUUAACUCUUCAUGUCCCCGAGGAACAGUGUUUUUGAAUCAUUUACAUCCUGAUCAGAACUAAUAACUCAGCAGUAAUUUCAGUAAAU